AUUGAACGCUGGCGGCAGGCCUAACACAUGCAAGUCGAACGAGGGGCGGACGGGAGAGUAAUGUCUGUGAACCUGCCUGAUGGAGGGGGAUAACUACUGGAAACGGUAGCUAAUACCGCAUACCAUCGGAUGUGCCCAGAUGGGAUUAGCUAGUAGGUGGGGUAAAGGCUCACAUGGGCGACGAUCCCUAGCUGGUCCGAGAGGAUGACCAGCCACACUGGAACUGGGACACGGUCCAGACUCCUACGGAGGGCAGAAGUGGGGAAUAUUGCACAAGGGGCGCAAGCCUGAUGCAGCCAUGCCGCGUGUAUGAAGAAGGCCUUCGGGUUGUAAAGUACUUUCAGCGGGGAGGCGUUACCCGCAGAGGAAGCACCGGCUAACUCCGUGCCAGCCGCCGCGGUAAUUC
This 406-nucleotide ribosomal RNA is filed under the name uncultured bacterium. RNAcentral describes it as "partial 16S ribosomal RNA". It matches the Rfam family "Bacterial small subunit ribosomal RNA", at positions 30 to 526 of the family's 1533-position model. The record is from RNAcentral.